UUUCAGGCAGGGAGGAGCCUGUAAUGUAAAUUCUUCCUAAACAGUUUCAAUCAUUCCUUCUUAUAGUACAACCUUGAGAGGUACCUGAAUCCUUCACUUAAGCCUUUGAGGAACUCUGUGGGGUGAAGAGCCACAAGAAGAUGCCAUAUUGGAAGCAGAAAGCAAGCCCUCGCCAGGCACUGAAUCUGCUUGAUCUGGGACUUCCCAGCAUCUAGAACUAGAAACAGAACCAAUGGGAUGUACAUAAAGAGAUUUAUUGUAAGAAAUCGGCACAUGUGAUUAUGGAGGCUGACAAAUCCCAAGAUCUGCAGGGGGAGGUGGCAAGCUGGAGACUCAGAAGCUGUUUCGGAAAAAAAGAAAUAGAGGUUUAAAGAACACAGAACAUACCUUCAACCGUCAUGGCAGGGUGGUGGACCACGAGGAAAUGACUGUGACAAGUCAGCUAAUCUUGGAACAAAUUAGGGAAGGAAAUGAUGAACAACAGCUGCAAAGAAAAAAAUGCAAGAAUUUGCAAAUGAUGUCCACUUUGUCUUUAAUUUACCCAAUGCUGGAAAGAAUACUGGUCACCUCACUUUUCGGUAAUAUACGCACCAUCGUCUUCAGACACAGAAGAAUGAGAAAUAAUUAAAAGUCACUGAGACGGCUCUCACCUCCUGUACUUCAUUAUCACACAAUGUCUUGCUAGAGAGGCAUUUUCAUUCCAGAUGAAUAUGUGGUUGAUUAGCGCUUUUCCAAAAGCAAAUUGUCUGAGGUUCUCUGUACUGCAUUUCCUGGUACCAAUUCCUCAUUAAGGUGAUUCAUGAAUUUUUUUUCAAUUAGGUUCGUAUGUCUUUUUAAAAAUCAAUUUGGUGUCUACCUUUCAACUAAAUGAAUGAGCCAGUGUAUCAUUCAGACAGGUGUGGACUUGCAUAACUAUUAAGUUAAAUGAGCCUUUCAUAGAAUUGAGAAAAUGGGCAAGGAUUAAAAGUGGAAUCUGAACAGGAAUCACUAUUUCAAAAAGAACAAAUUAGAAAAUAUGAAUAAACAGGUGAACUACAUGAGCCCUUCCAUUCAGAAUAGCAUGGCGGGUAAGCAUGGGCUCUGGAGUCAGACUUCUCUGAGUUCCAAUCUUGGCUCUUUUGCUAACUUCCUUUGUAAUUAAACAAGGUCGUAACACUUUCCACCUCUCAGCUUUUUCAUGUGUGAGAUGAGAUCAUGAUAGCAGCUGUGUCCUUGGGUGGUGGUGAGAAUUAAAUGGGAAAUCGCCUUUAAAGCACUGAACUGAGCACACAGUAAACAUUUAAUAAACGUUAGUUCCUAUUAUUCCUAAAAUAAUACUAUUCAUUUAGAAUCACUUAUUAGUAAUCAAUGCUAACUUGACCUUAACGAUUAAAAUAAAGAUAAAAAUUCAUGGGCUAUCGAAACCUAUAAUGUGGUACUCAUUAUUCAAGUGGAAUGAAAACGCUGAAAAGAAAAUGUUUUUUCAAAAUUUCAUCUGGCAAAUAUUGCCAAAUAGUUUAAAGCAACCCUACAUGUUUUUUCCAUACCUCAUUAUCCUGUGCCAUGAGGGGGAAGAAAGGAUGUAUUUUAAUUGUUGUGACCACCUUCAUCUAUUGAAGUCUUGAUUUUUCAGGCACCUCCUUCGUUUUAUUAAAUAUUUUAUGCUGUGCAUGUGAAAUAUGUAGUCCAUGUACCCAGGGAUAUUUCUGUCUACUAGUUUUCCUUGUUCCUAAAAACAGAAAUGAGGAAUGCCUACGGCUAAAAAGAAAAAAAAAACUGUCUUCCUGUCAGCAGCUCCUUCUGCUGAUAUGUCACCGAUGCCAAAUUAUAUAUUCACGUAAUUUGCAUUUUCCCACUCUUAGUUUUUUUUUUAAAUCAUUAGGUCAAAAGCUAAAAUACAUUCCUUUUUAUAGCAGAAAAUUGCUCCUGUUUGUUCAAAGCCAAUUUGAAAGAUUUGAUCAUCAGAAAAACAUAUAUGUGUCUAUAUAUAAUUUCUAAAUUUGGCUUCAAACCCCUACUUAUUUAGUAGUGCCACACAAUAGCUUUUUUUAAUGUAAGAUUUUCCUUUAAGAAAUGGGA
Molecule: long non-coding RNA, 2058 nt
Filed under: Homo sapiens (human)
Lineage: Eukaryota; Metazoa; Chordata; Mammalia; Primates; Hominidae
Description: HSALNT0345400
Source: RNAcentral